UUGUCUCAAAGAUUAAGCCAUGCAUGUCUCAGUACAAGCCGCAUUAAGGUGAAACCGCGAAAGGCUCAUUAAAUCAGUUAUGGUUCCUUAGAUCGUACCCACACUUACUUGGAUAACUGUGGUAAUUCUAGAGCUAAUACAUGCAAACAGAGCUCCGACCGGAGACGGGAGGAGUGCUUUUAUUAGAUCAAAACCAAUCGGCGGCGGGCGCGUCCGCGCGCCCGUUCGCCGCUCAACCUGGUGACUCUGAAUAACUUUGUGCUGAUCGCACGGUCUCGCACCGGCGACGCAUCUUUCAAAUGUCUGCCUUAUCAACUGUCGAUGGUAGGUUCUGCGCCUACCAUGGUCGUAACGGGUAACGGGGAAUCAGGGUUCGAUUCCGGAGAGGGAGCCUGAGAAACGGCUACCACAUCCAAGGAAGGCAGCAGGCGCGCAAAUUACCCACUCCCGGCACGGGGAGGUAGUGACGAAAAAUAACGAUACGGGACUCAUCCGAGGCCCCGUAAUCGGAAUGAGUACACUUUAAAUCCUUUAACGAUGAUCAAUUGGAGGGCAAGCCUGGUGCCAGCAGCCGCGGUAAUUCCAGUUCCAAUAGCGUA
RNAcentral lists this ribosomal RNA (599 nucleotides) under Microdytes elgae. RNAcentral describes it as "SSU rRNA". It matches the Rfam family "Eukaryotic small subunit ribosomal RNA", at positions 32 to 601 of the family's 1831-position model. Lineage: Eukaryota; Metazoa; Arthropoda; Insecta; Coleoptera; Dytiscidae. The record is from RNAcentral.